GCCUUGAUGGCUCAGUUGGUUAGAGCGCAGGUCUCAUACUAUAUGUAUGACCGGUCCAGUUACCAGGCAAUCCUGAGGUCGCAAGUUCGAACUUUCCUCAGGGCA
Suillus weaverae is the source of this 105-nucleotide non-coding RNA. NCBI's taxonomy places the organism in Eukaryota, Fungi, Basidiomycota, Agaricomycetes, Boletales, Suillaceae. The record is from the annotation of a GenBank genome assembly.